This 259-nucleotide ribosomal RNA is filed under the name uncultured bacterium. RNAcentral's name for it is "partial 16S ribosomal RNA". The stretch from base 27 to 259 matches the Rfam family "Bacterial small subunit ribosomal RNA", at positions 100 to 334 of the family's 1533-position model. The record is from RNAcentral.
CGAAACCAAAAGACUGGCGACCGGCCGCACGGGUGAGUAACACGUAUCCAACCUGCCUCAUACUCGGGGAUAGCCUUUCGAAAGAAAGAUUAAUAUCCGAUAGCAUAUAUUUCCCGCAUGGGUUUUAUAUUAAAGAAAUUCGGUAUGAGAUGGGGAUGCGUUCCAUUAGUUUGUUGGGGGGGUAACGGCCCACCAAGACUACGAUGGAUAGGGGUUCUGAGAGGAAGGUCCCCCACAUUGGAACUGAGACACGGUCCAA